CCCUGGGGCUGGGGCCGCGAGUCUGGGUCGCCCUUGGUGGCCGCGGCCUCCCAGAACCCCCCGGGAAGGGCAGGCAGAGGACCCAUCUUAGAUGAAGCGGGGCCUUACCCGGGUUUUGAAGAGCCCCAGAAUCAGAUGUUGGAAUGGGGUGGCUUAUCAGUCUUGUUUAUCUGCAGGGAAAUUUCAGUUCCAUCCAGAUGUUGGUUCCUUCAGUCAACCUCAGGAAUAAGACACAAGGGUACCUUCUGUGUGACUUCAACCCUCCAGAGGGCUUCAACCUCCGUAGGAACGUCUGCAUCCACAUUGCCUUACUCCUGAAGACCCUGCUGAAGAUGGAAGAGCCGGUACUGGUGCAAUUCCCUUGGGGCCACCUCUACCACUGGCAGAGCCCCGAUCCCUGGUCCGACUCCUUUGACCUCCCAAGUCUCAACAGAAACAUCCCUGACAUUGAGUACGAGCAGUUCAUUGCAGGAACGCUGUGUUCAUGACAACCCAAUGAGUUGGCACCACUAUGAGUUCCACUUUAAAGGUAAGGACAUUCAUUAAUCACACGGCUAAUAAAUGGCAGAGCUGGGACUUGAACCCGAGCUCUCUGGCCCCAGAGCCCCCUCUCAGCCCCUUCACUGCAGCUCAUCACUUGGCAUGCCCGACACAGGCCAGCAUUUACGAGCAGCGUGACCUUGGCCAAGGCUGCUUCACUGCUUGGUCUCUGAUUCCUCAUCUGUAGAAUGGGGGUGUGGGCAGUGAACUCUGUGAGCUCAGUGGUCACUUCCUCCAGCUCUGCAAUUCUACUGCUUUGAGUUAGUAUAGUAAGUAUCCGAGCCCCUACAUGGCCCACACAUGGGCUGGCGCUUUGCUAGGCCCUGGGUUACGGAGCAAAGUAAGAUCCGCCUGCUCCUCCGAGGAGCCUGUGUCCCUCCACGGCAAACAGCUGCGAGGCCCAGGCUCCCUGGCUGGCGGUCGGGGGCUGGGCAGGAAAGUCUGAUAAGAGAAGAUGGAGGCAGAGCCCCUCCGGGAACAGUGGUGGCCACACAGCUCUCAGGAGCGAGAGCCUCUGUCCAGGCUGCUGAGAGGGGGAUCCUCAUGAGGCCAGUAGUCCCCCCAACCUAAGCCCUCAGGACAAAGAUCCAGCCAUCCCUGCAGUGUCACCAUAGAGCCAGUCCAUCCUCAUCACUGUGCCUCUGUGCUCCUUUGUCCUCGGGCCUCUCUUCCCCCUACACCCAGAAGACUCUUCUCCCUCUCUUCUCUGAGUGCCCCCUCACUUCACCCGUGGUCCCUGCUUCCUGGGCCACCAUCACUGGAGUUGACGCUUUGCACCUUCACAAACCCCGUUUGAUCAGGAGCCUGGGUUGGCCUCCUUGUGCUCACUUUCCACCUUCAGAUGAUUGCUCCUCCCCUCGUGGGAGCACAUGGAAAACCCAGAUCCUUUCCUAGCAGUGCCUGCCACCCUGGCCUCCCUGCUCAUCUGCCUCAGUCAGGAGCACCUGGACCACCAGCUCUGUAUUGCCUCGCCUCCUACCAUCAAGACGUCAAAGUUCAUUCUCCUUCCACCACCCAGUAUGGUCAUUGUAGGGUCUUCUUCUCUGUCAGCCUGAGCCAGCCACCCCCCAUUCACCCUACCCCCGGGCUCAUACCCGGGCGUGUCUCCACCCCAGGUCCAGCCUCUCUCCUUUAAGUGCCCACCUCUAGCCGUCCAGCUUCUUCUCCACCAGCCUCCCUGGCCCUCCUUCACCCUCACUGGGGCAUCAUGCGCUGACUCCUCUGCUUUCCUGCCUGUCCACGUUCCUCUUACUUCCACUUCCCCACCUUCCAGCUCUGCAUCCACAGUCAGCACUCUCUUUAUGACAGACAAAACCCCCUUGAGCCUUGACCUUUUCAGUUCCUCACCAGGCCGACUUCCAUCUCGGUUCACCCAGCUCUACUUGUUCUGAGCCUGCAGGCAGCAGGCUCUCCCAGCACAGAUUUCCAAGACUACAAAUCAAUGCCCACCAUGUUGCCGCUGCCAGGCAAUCCUCCAGGAUUUCUAUAAUGGUCAUGCCUCCUGCUUCAGAGAGAAUGACAUGUCACUGGAAAGGAACUCGCUCACCUACAGCAAAUCUGCUCACCUCACCUUUUAUCUGUCCCUUUCCCACCUGGACUCUAGCUGUAGUUGUUCUUAAUUCAGUGAGUUUAGUUGACAUAUAUACACACAGUUAAAAGCAUAGCACACUAUCGGCUACCUUCUAGGGGUUACUUUUUCAAUUUAACAUGGAGUGUGUGAUUCAUCCACUUCAUUGCAUGUACCUGCAGUUCAUUUGUUUUAACUGAUCUUAAAUGUUGUGUGUGUGAAAGUAACACAAGGCAAGGGUAAGCCAGGAUUCAGGAUGCUGGUUACUUCCUGUGAGAAGAGGCCAAGAGCAGGAUAGGUAAAGAGGACACAGUAUGUCACUGUCAAUAUUCCUGUUAUGAUGCUGGGUGAUAGGUUCAUAACUGUGUCUUAUAAUAUUAAUUUUAAUACAUAAAUACUUCUGACAGGCAAAUAAGAUGAGAAUGUGUCAUGAACCAAGACAUACAAUGGGUAAUAUUACAUCAUUAUUGAUAUGUAAUCUUGUUAUAUUAUAUAUUAAUCAUUAUCUUACAUUAUUUGUUAUGGGUUAUAUAUUAUAUAGAUGCAUGAAUAAUAUAUUAUGUAUAUAAACACCUACAUAUGUAUUAUAUACUAUCUGCUAAUAAAUAAACAGAAGAUAAUAUGCUAGUAUAUCUUCUAUUAUGUAUUAUUUAAUAAAUAAUAACAUACUCUAUCCUGUUAUAUGACAUGGAACAUAAUCUUUAAUAAAAUAAGAAAUCUGUCAAUA
RNA transcript from Camelus dromedarius (Arabian camel), 2834 nucleotides. It is a transcript of the gene named GDP-fucose protein O-fucosyltransferase 2-like, with no coding region annotated. Lineage: Eukaryota; Metazoa; Chordata; Mammalia; Artiodactyla; Camelidae. The transcript has 4 exons. The record is from RefSeq and is a predicted model, not a curated record.